RNAcentral lists this ribosomal RNA (571 nucleotides) under uncultured Bifidobacterium sp. Its description in RNAcentral is "bacterial SSU rRNA". It matches the Rfam family "Bacterial small subunit ribosomal RNA", at positions 136 to 722 of the family's 1533-position model. The record is from RNAcentral. Lineage: Bacteria; Bacillati; Actinomycetota; Actinomycetes; Bifidobacteriales; Bifidobacteriaceae.
CACUAGUGAUUCUCCUGGAAACGGGUGGUAAUGCCGGAUGCUCCAGUUGGAUGCAUGUCCUUCUGGGAAAGAUUAUAUCGGUAUGGGAUGGGGUCGCGUCCUAUCAGGUAGUCGGCGGGGUAACGGCCCACCGAGCCUACGACGGGUAGCCGGCCUGAGAGGGCGACCGGCCACAUUGGGACUGAGAUACGGCCCAGACUCCUACGGGAGGCAGCAGUGGGGAAUAUUGCACAAUGGGCGCAAGCCUGAUGCAGCGACGCCGCGUGCGGGAUGACGGCCUUCGGGUUGUAAACCGCUUUUGAUCGGGAGCAAGCCUUCGGGUGAGUGUACCUUUCGAAUAAGCACCGGCUAACUACGUGCCAGCAGCCGCGGUAAUACGUAGGGUGCAAGCGUUAUCCGGAAUUAUUGGGCGUAAAGGGCUCGUAGGCGGUUCGUCGCGUCCGGUGUGAAAGUCCAUCGCUUAACGGUGGAUCCGCGCCGGGUACGGGCGGGCUUGAGUGCGGUAGGGGAGACUGGAAUUCCCGGUGUAACGGUGGAAUGUGUAGAUAUCGGGAAGAACACAAUCGAAUUC